This 3321-nucleotide transfer RNA is filed under the name Varroa destructor (honeybee mite). RNAcentral describes it as "uncharacterized LOC111254084". The stretch from base 2139 to 2220 matches the Rfam family "tRNA". The record is from RNAcentral. Lineage: Eukaryota; Metazoa; Arthropoda; Arachnida; Mesostigmata; Varroidae.
UUUUCGAUGGGUACGCGACCGUAACAGACGCCAAUAACCCUAUUGAAUCAUAGCCGCAUUAUUAUUGACGAUGACACUGCCCGCUGCGUCUUGUCGCGCUUGUUCUACCUCGGGUAGCGAUUAAGUAGUAUAUAAGAAUGGCGACCAACGUCAUGUUGCCUGUGUGCGUUGACUCCUUUCCGUCUCCGGCUCAAGAGGAUUUGUCACGACAGCUAUACAACAAUUUUUCAGUUUAAUGUCAUCGGAAAGGGUUAUCGUUGCAACACUUCUGGAGCGGCCUCAAUAACGGACUCGUUAAAAAAAAAACUCACUAUCUGCCAUGCUGCGGCCAAUCUGAAAGGCCCCUGAUACUUUUCGUUUUCUCUGUGGCAACUUGUGUAAGUUGGUGCCCCAAAAAGCAAUCCUCAAGUCGUGCUCCUCACUUCGAGGCUAUGACGUCAAGCACGAAGAUUUCUGUCGAGGAUUAGUGCGUUCACUCGGAGCUUUCCCAACAGGCCCGCUGCACGGUCAAACAUCAUCUACUAUCCUCAUGGCGGCUUGACUUUGCGGUCCUAGCUUCCACCCUCGUCCUAUCCAAGGGAUAGCGGUUCUCCUUAACGAAUCUACCGAAUCCCAUCACAGCCAGAUGACUCCUUCAGGUAGCCGCUGGAAAGCCGGUGGUAAAGUCGUAUAAGCCUUUUUACAUCUUGGAUGGAGAGGCCAGCGAAGCUAAAGCCGUCAUUCAAUGAUUGUCAUGGAUCUGAGAGAAAAGCGGCGGGGGGAGGGGUAAGCGGCGGAUAGCAGCGAGAGGGCUCGAGGAUCUGGGUGGAUCAAACUGUCACCGAAGUUGUCCCGACACUGCUGACAGCGCCUAUCCGUUCACCAACAGAUACCUACCCAUUAUGGCACUCGUUGAAUGUGGAUGACCGCGAGGAUGCUGGUAUCGGGUAUCCCCUUCAUAGUUUUGCUAAGAAAAGCUGACGCUGGUUACUGAUAAUGCAAACGAUCAAACGCUCUUAGACUUGAUAACAUCAACAUAGACGACUGAAGUUGUAUUAUAGAGGCGUCUGUUGAGAUAACGGAGCAUAUCAAAUAUAUAGAAUAACUAACACAUUUUAGUACUUGAUGAAGAUAGAUUGUAUAGUAAAUCAUAUUAUAUAAAUUGUAUUAAUGACAGUAGUUGUAACUAAAUAGUUCUCAGUAGAAUAAUUUGAAUUCGAAAAUCGUUAAAGCUUAUUAAAGACGAAAAGUUGUCUACAGACAUUUUCACAGUAGGGUUGUCCUUUAAGCCUUCAAUCUAGUAACUGAAUGAAAAGGUCCACAUUAUAAUAAAACCGUGUUCACCAAAGACCACUUCAACAAUACGGAAUUGUGUUUUUUAUUCGCUACAACAUUGUUUUUCCUAUUCCCUUUCGACGAAUGAAUUGGAAACACCGUAUUACAAUUAAUAGCUCGUAUAGGACAAUUGAAUAAAGUCAAAGUCAUUACCCACAAAAUAAACGUAAACAAUUCUUUCGGAGCGCACAAAGUGCAUGGGGCGUUCAUUUGCUCCACGUUUCGAUACAGAUUGUAGUCACGACAGUACGAAAUAAGAUUGAGUCCAUUAAACAUAUCGACCACUUUGUACAAAAUUGUCAAAUAGAGCAGCUAUUGCCAAUAGCAUCAAACACUAUGAUGUAUCAAGAUUUUCACAUAUUCAACAGUUUUUCGUGUCAACCAGUAAAAUAUAGAAUUCGGUUAAAUUGUUGUUAAAUUCGGUUUAACAAAAAACUGAACGUGGUGUCAUUUCCAUUGAUAUCAUGCUUACAUUUUGAAAUACCCGGUUUCAGGUAGAACACAGCCCUUAACAGUAAAGAUUCAUUGGACAGAGUUUUUAUCGGUCACAGUCGACCACUUCAUAUUCUGAAGCAUUUGUCUUAUUUUGAAAGCCCCUAUCUAAAGCACAGCUGUGCAGAAAAAGGUACUUUAACAAAUCGUAGAAUUCGUUCCACGUGGAGAGAGUUCACUAGGCGCCCAAUUUAGCGGCUUAACUACUCGGCCACAUUGCCUUUGUGCCAUGUAGUCCGUCCAAAAAUAAAACAUUUCGCUCAUAUCUAUGUCAUACAUUCUUAAAUACAUACGGAAUUAUUUUACUAAUUUGGGAAUUGUGUGUAUCGCAUGACGAGGUGGCCGAGUGGUUAAGGCGUUGGACUGCUAAUCCAAUGGGCUCUGCCCGCGUGGGUUCGAAUCCCAUCUUCGUCGUGAACAUUUUGCUCUAAAGGUUUAACUCCUCAUUUCUUUCGCUCGCACAAAUCAAGCUGUGUCGAAAUCAAGCUAUAUAUUAUUAUGGCAGGCGUAAUCGCUCAACACACGUAAACCAAAAUAUUGGAUGCAAAAACAAAACGGUCAUUGUUUCCAUUGCCUUUUCAUAGUUAUCUAAAAAGAAAGGAUACAUUAGUUUUAUUCACACAAAUUCUUUAUCUCAAAAACUUCCGAUUAAACUGCAAUCUCACAUGAAAAAUAUUUAGGAAUACAAACAUAUAUUUGAUGCUUACAUAUAUACAAAAAUACAACUUUCGAUAGUAUAUUAUUAGUAUGCUACAGGAUGCAUCAGCCGGCUGAUAGCCGCAAAAAACGUUCUAGCUUUUAUGUAAAACGUAUCAUUCAGAUCGCGAGAUAUUGCGAAUUGCGGUCGAUAGCUACAAUAGUUGGGCGAAUAACACGGCACCAAGUUACUAUAUGCCUAUGAUCGUUACUAUGUUUGGCAUUGUGCAUCUCUAAACGGAAACGACGUUUAAAGGUACACAUAGUGACUGUGCGGAAAACAACGCAAAUUUAGAUUAUGUCCAAAUCAGAUGUUCUAGAACAGUGUAAUUAGAUUUAUUAAACAACUAAUAAACAAGCUACUUAUUUUCUCUUAAUAUAUGUUCAAGCUCAUAUUAAUGUUGUUUAUGAAAUUUAUUUUUAACCGUAAUUUGAUUAUUUUUAAAAUUAUACUAAUAUGUUACAUAGAACCUCUUUAGGCUGAGCUGAUUAUCUUUCUAAAUCCAAAAUUUUCCGUAAGACCCAUUCAGAUAGUUUUAAAUGAACAAUAAACAUACGGCACUCCACAACCGUCCUCUGUUUGUUUAGAAUUUAAGUUACGAUUUUGCUUCUAUCGUUUAUCUACCUAGAGGAUUCGAUAGCCACUCUACAGCCUAAUCAGGUACGUCACACAAAAUGCUUGUGUUCAAUAGCAAUCCUAAGGAAAUACCCGUUUAUUAGGCAACUAAAAUUUAGGGAGCACCUUAGGUCUGUCGAACUGCUUUUAAACUUUAUAAACAGAAAUAUUUAAAUAUAUCAAUACAGUCGGGCUCUUUUUGU